CUACUGAAAAUUGGUUUUGAGGGGAAGAUUUUUAGUCAUCUUUGUCAACUCAAGUUCUGUGGGGGAGUGAAGACCACACUCCAUAGUGAGCUUUACUCUUUAUGUGCAGUUCAUUACUAUUUUGUGGCCUAGAAA
Small nucleolar RNA from Equus asinus (donkey), 135 nucleotides. Lineage: Eukaryota; Metazoa; Chordata; Mammalia; Perissodactyla; Equidae. The record is from Ensembl.